ACGCUGGCGGCGUGCCUAAUACAUGCAAGUAGAACGCUGAAGAGAGGAGCUUGCUCUUCUUGGAAGAGUUGCGAACGGGUGAGUAACGCGUAGGUAACCUGCCUUGUAGCGGGGGAUAACUAUUGGAAACGAUAGCUAAUACCGCAUAACAAUGGGUGACCCAUGUCAUUCAUUUGAAAGGGGCAACUGCUCCACUACAAGAUGGACCUGCGUUGUAUUAGCUAGUAGGUGAGGUAACGGCUCACCUAGGCGACGAUACAUAGCCGACCUGAGAGGGUGAUCGGCCACACUGGGACUGAGACACGGCCCAGACUCCUACGGGAGGCAGCAGUAGGGAGUCUUCGGCAAUGGGGGCAACCCUGACCGAGCAACGCCGCGUGAGUGAAGAAGGUUUUCGGAUCGUAAAGCUCUGUUGUAAGUCAAGAACGAGUGUGAGAGUGGAAAGUUCACACUGUGACGGUAGCUUACCAGAAAGGGACGGCUAACUACGUGCCAGCAGCCGCGGUAAUACGUAGGUCCCGAGCGUUGUCCGGAUUUAUUGGGCGUAAAGCGAGCGCAGGCGGUUUGAUAAGUCUGAAGUUAAAGGCUGUGGCUCAACCAUAGUUCGCUUUGGAAACUGUCAAACCUGAGUGCAGAAGGGGAGAGUGGAAUUCCAUGUGUAGCGGUGAAAUGCGUAGAUAUAUGGAGGAACACCGGUGGCGAAAGCGGCUCUCUGGUCUGUAACUGACGCUGAGGCUCGAAAGCGUGGGGAGCGAACAGGAUUAGAUACCCUGGUAGUCCACGCCGUAAACGAUGAGUGCUAGGUGUUGGGUCCUUUCCGGGAUUCAGUGCCGCAGCUAACGCAUUAAGCACUCCGCCUGGGGAGUACGACCGCAAGGUUGAAACUCAAAGGAAUUGACGGGGGCCCGCACAAGCGGUGG
RNAcentral lists this ribosomal RNA (920 nucleotides) under uncultured bacterium. RNAcentral's name for it is "bacterial SSU rRNA". It matches the Rfam family "Bacterial small subunit ribosomal RNA", at positions 33 to 935 of the family's 1533-position model. The record is from RNAcentral.